CUCCCUUCUCCUUUCCCCUUGGACGUCCACACAUCCCACCACUUGGGGCGUCCUCUCUUCAUCAUGCCCAAGGGCUGUUGGGCAUCCAUUAUUUGUUGGUUUUAAGAGCUUGGCAGUAGCACAAAGCAAGAGAGAAAGGUUAAAUAAGAAGAGAAUAAGAAUAUCAAAGAAAGAGAUCAAGUGUUGAUCGUGAUUCAGACUUCGUUCAAAUUCAGCAGGCUGAAUUUUUUUAGAAAAAAAAUUUAAUUUGAAGAGAGCUGUUCCAGAUUGAUCCCGAGUGGAUACCCAUAGAGUCCAGAUACUUGUGU
Molecule: long non-coding RNA, 308 nt
Filed under: Elaeis guineensis (African oil palm)
Lineage: Eukaryota; Viridiplantae; Streptophyta; Magnoliopsida; Arecales; Arecaceae
Description: long non-coding RNA (EGUI_LNC069291)
Source: RNAcentral